GUUUCUCCCUAAACUUGCUUUGAGUUAACUGGCUUGUCCCUUGCAUUGCUUUUUCCAAAAUAAAUGUUUUUUGUGGCCUGUUCCUAACUGUUGAAUUGUUUGAAGUGUUCAUUCAAAAUGAUAUUCAUGCAUACAAAUUUGUAGCCUGGACUUGUAUGGAAACACUACUCUGGUAACUUCUGAUUGCUGUUUUACUGCAUACUGCAUGUUAUGGGACUACUCAUACUGACCAGCAGAUGACUUACAAAAGUCCAAUUAUGUGGCCAGCAGAUAACAAUGAGUACUUGUAUCCAUAAGUGGGAAAAAAGUCUAAUAACAAUCAAACAACAUUUGUUUGCUUCUUGGUGGUAAUGCUAGUGAUGUGUUUUAAUGUUGAAAUACUACUUGAUCUUUGGGCAUUUGCUUAUAUUUUUCAGCUUAUAUAGGCCUUCUGUAAAUACUUAUAGUCUUUUUUUUAUUUUUGGGCAGAUACAUAUUCCUACAACCAGCUU
RNAcentral lists this unclassified non-coding RNA (491 nucleotides) under Hevea brasiliensis (rubber tree). Lineage: Eukaryota; Viridiplantae; Streptophyta; Magnoliopsida; Malpighiales; Euphorbiaceae. The record is from RNAcentral.